AAUGAGACGGAAUCCACAGCAGGACACACGGAACAGAACAGAAGGUGAAAAACAUGAACUUCUGACUUCAAUGCUCCAACUCGCACAAAUUCGAGGAAAAACCCGAACCCUUGACCCCUACAAUGAGGUGAUGCAGUGGCUGUGCGGGCAUCGUGUCGGCAUUGUUUCCUUUCACUCGAGGAAUGCGGAUCAAUACAAAGCUGUUCUGAGUAAUCACCUUUCUCCUAUGAUGAAGCAUUUCCAGUCUCCUCCAAGAUGACAAAGCCUCCAGCCACGGGACACGAGGGGUCACUGAAUGAAGAAUGUGAAUAGUAAACUGUGGCCUUUGCAGCUAUCAGAAGCUCUAAACCCAAUUCAACACCUAUGGGAAUGUUUGAACCAACGUGUUAAGACAGCAGCCUCCACCACAAUGCUCAAGACACCAAAUUAAGGUGCAUUUUUUGGAUAGAAAUAUGUUCCAGAGACUUGGAGAAUCAAUGCCAACAAAGACACUUUAUCCUUUCAUUUGUCACCUGUCUGUAUCUCAUUGUCCUGCAUGUUUAGGGGCCAAUUUGUAGCUUGGAAAAUCCAAACUGAAUCUCCAUGUUAGGAGAUACAGGAGAGUCAGUUUGGUAUUGUGCAAAUUGAAUCGCGUUUCCCUCCUGGGACAGUUUGGUACGACCAAUCAUAGCACGGGAGGCGGGAGUUAAUGCUGCGUCAUCUUCAGCGCCUGGAUUACCCAUAAAGAUGAUGCGGAGGAGGAGGAGGAGGAGGGGGGCCAAAGCGAAUCUUUUUGUGGUCUCUUGACGUUUUGGAUGGCGUUAGUCGUUGCCUCUUUUCACUUGACGUUUCCGAUGAUGAGGAGGCAGUGGAUGGCUCGUUACUUUCGCCUUCUUGCCAUUGUUUGUACAGAGGAAAAUCCCGUUCCAAACGUCAAUUAGAAAAAUGUCAAUCACCUGUGAGCACCUGUUCAGAAACGCAGAAGAGGACGACGAUGUGAAAGACAGAUUGCAGAACAAACAUGGCUUCAGAGACGGUUUCAGAUUACACGGAGGACACAGAGACUGUGGAUGCUGUUUCAGAUGGCAAACAGCAAGAGAAGAACACGGAAGACAGACUGGAAACUCUGUCUGAGAAGAUAAAUCUGUGCAACGCAGUCCUGAAUGACUUGAAGGACCUGACUGAUGUUCUAAAGAACAAAUCUCUUCAAGAUGUGUCCUUUCCCCUGCAGAAGUGAACCAAAGAUUGCAAACUCCAUUUUCCUACUUGGUGUAAUUAAAUACCUUUAAAUGCA
Molecule: long non-coding RNA, 1273 nt
Organism: Acanthochromis polyacanthus (spiny chromis)
Lineage: Eukaryota; Metazoa; Chordata; Actinopteri; Pomacentridae
Exons: 5
Source: RefSeq, a predicted model, not a curated record